This is an RNA transcript of Spodoptera frugiperda (fall armyworm), 2135 nucleotides long. RefSeq lists it as uncharacterized. Lineage: Eukaryota; Metazoa; Arthropoda; Insecta; Lepidoptera; Noctuidae. The record is from RefSeq and is a predicted model, not a curated record. The transcript is spliced from 2 exons.
CUUCAUCUCAACAAUUUAGCAAUUAUCUGGCCAUUUUUACGUUGAGUUGAGCAACUGCUUCUCCAUUCUCUAUCUGUUGAUACUACUUUCGCGAAAGGACGCUUUAUUAACUGUGUUGUGUGUACGUGUUUUAUUGAAAAUGACGAGUUUGCAAUGCAUCAAUUGCUAUGUUCGCUUGUCCCGAAGAAGAAGACACGCUUUAUCCAAUGACGGUGAAGAUAUCGUCAACACUAUUCGUCUGUGGACAUAUCUUAGAGAUGUAAGUAGUUUCCACAUAACAUUGUGUGUACGAAUGGGCCAUAGUUACGAACUUCAAUAACUUUUACGUGUGAUAUCACACUAAAUAAACACAUAAGUAAUCGGUAACAUGUAUUAUUUACUUGCCUUGGUUUGCAUAACACUGUUAUAAUUUAUUAGUACCUAUUAUUUUGUUUAAUGGUGAGCCAUACUCAAAAUCAUUUAAUUAUUUCUAGAUUACACCAGAUGACCAUGUUUACCAUGAAUGCUGGCAGCUAGCUAGUCAUUCAUGUUCUUCUGAUAAUAUGCCGAGAAGACACAUAGGCCAUCAGUGUUUGUGUUGUAUGUGGACAAUCCAUACUAAGAAUCAGGCAAUGCAGAAUUUUGAUUGAAGAAGAACAAAGAACGGCUUACACAAUGACUACUUGGAUCUAACCACAACAGCUUCAUCCUGAAGAUAAAGCUUGUGUGCGGUGUUGGUUAAGAGUGAGAACUAAGGAUACUUCACUAAAUGAAGAUAUUCAAUCCGUUGAACCUAAUCAGCAGGAAAGUGAUAAUUCUGAACUGAUGUGUGCUGCAUGUGGUCAAAGUGUUACUCCCAACAACACUGCUUGUUUGUUGGAGCACCAGCAGGUAUAUAAUAAUAUGAAAUAAUAUAUUUAUAGUAAUUAGCUUCUAAAAACGCAAUGCAAAGAGCAAUUACAAUUUUAUGUUGCUAAAUGUAAGACACUAAUGAUGUUGGCUCUACUAACAACAAAAGGAUACUGGUCUUUCCAUUCUCUACUCCAGUGAACAAUAAAUAUAUUCAGUAUUUUUGGAAAGGUCUUCGGUAAAAACCAAUCAUUGUGUGUCGAGAUUUAUUCUCUAGCCUGGUCAUGUUUUGCGCAAUUUAUAUCUAUCAUAUGUAAAUGCUUAAUUUUGAAUUACAUGAAUUAUUUAUAUUAUUUAUUUACAGACACCUUCGAUGAAUGAAGUUUGUGAAGUUUGCUGGGGCCAAGUAUGCAAUUUGAGCUUCUAUGUUCCAGAUGGUCUAUGUUGCUUCAAGUUAAAAUAAAGCCUCUUCUCCUAGAACUUAUUUUGUUUUCAUAGUUGCAGAAACAAAUAUAAAUAGCCGGGACACAAUCAAAAGUGAUUGCUGUAAUUGUAUUGUAGGUUUAAGAACAGUGGGAUGCUGCUCACAUAUUAUGAGCAUUCUUUGGUAUUUGAGUUAUGCUUGCUAUGAGGGUAUGACCCGACCUGCCCCUUUCUUGGAUGAAGUAAUAUUAAGAAACAAUCAAGUAAUUAUAAGAAAAUAAAGUAAAUGUAUUCCUACAAAAACUAAGUUGCUUUAUUUACCUACACUCAAAACUUCGUCAGCACUUAAUCAUUAUCAAACUAUUGUAGACUGCUGCUGGACAUAGGUCACUCCUUAAGCACCCUACUGAAUGGGUAAAUUCUCAUGUCAAUUUAUCAACUUCCUACAUUCUUUUUCACUUAAACAAUGUUUAUGUGCUUAGUGCUUACCUAUACGUGAUAAAGAACAAAGAGUAAUGUUGGGACCACCUCUCAAUAGUAAUGAGACACCCUUAUAUAGAUAAAUAUUCUCAAACUGAAUAAACUUACUAAAGUACUACAAUUAAGGUCAAAAGUCGGGUUUCGGAGUUAUACUAGGUAAGUAUCUUUUUUAUGCAAUAAGUUGGUAAACGAGCAGACGGAUCAUCUGAUGGUAAGCAAUCGCCGCCGCCCAUGUACACCUGAGGCGUUAGAAGUGCGUUGCCGGCCUUUUGGGGGUUCGGAAUUUAAGGGUUGUUAGGGAAGGGGUAAUUGCGCCUCCGGUAACCUCACUCACUCAACGAAAUACAACGCCAAUGCGAAACAAACUCUAGACAAUGAUGAUAGUAGCUUACUUUAUUAUAAGA